AUACGUAUGGGGCGAGCGUUGUUCGGAAUUAUUGGGCGUAAAGGGCGUCUAGGCGGGAAAUUAAGUUAGGUGUGAAAGCUAUGGGCUCAACCCAUAAACUGCAUCUAAAACUGAUUUUCUUGAGUUCGGGAGAGGAGAGCGGAAUUCCAGGUGUAGCGGUGAAAUGCGUAGAUAUCUGGAAGAACACCAGUGGCGAAGGCGGCUCUCUGGCCUAGAACUGACGCUGAAGCGCGAAAGCGUGGGGAGC
RNAcentral lists this ribosomal RNA (247 nucleotides) under uncultured bacterium. Its description in RNAcentral is "partial 16S ribosomal RNA". It matches the Rfam family "Bacterial small subunit ribosomal RNA", at positions 523 to 769 of the family's 1533-position model. The record is from RNAcentral.